AAAAGUUCUGCUUUUUCAUUUAAAAGGUAGUAAAAAGUUUGUUGGCAUUCUGGUAUAGUUUAUAAAAAAUUUAACUAGAUGUUUGUGCAUGUCUUGCUACAUGAGUAAUUUUCGCUCUUCUUGAAUGUGAAUGCGCACCUCAAAAUAAACUGUUACCUGCAAUCAUUUCAGCCAAAUCACUAGCAGAUGAUUAAUAAAAUAGGUUGCAGAUAAAAAAAGAGAAAAAAUGAAAUAAGCAGAACAAAAAGUAAAAUUAAGUGCUAUUUAAAAAUUGCAGAGAAAGCGUCACUAUCUCUGUAAUUCUUAUAAGUGACAGCUGUCCAACCGGCAGCAAUAAUUUGUUUGCAAUACUUAUUUGACAAGACUGUCCGUUGUUUAUCAAACAUUUCCUUUUCUUUUCUCCUAAUAUGUGAGUCAGACACUUUUUGACCUUCCUUAUUCUUAGAUAUGAACAUGUGACUGAGUUCUCGCCAAGUCUGGCUUUGAAAAAUGUCUCCCAGCAUUGCGUAUACCCUUUCUGCUCGAUAUUGGGCUGGCGUUGAAAACCUUAUCUCUGAAUGAUUGCUGUGACACAGAGGUCUCCCCUUCCCCUAAGGAUCAUCCUGCCCCUCCCACCAAAGGCAUUUGCUUGGGACUCUUAAGCAGGCUUUUGUAAGUCACCCCUCUGCUUCAUGAAGAACACACUGGGGUGGGAUAUCACACUGUGAAAAAUACAUAACUGGAAUUUGAAUAGUAAACCAGCAGAUCGGGAGCAACAUCUGGAGGGCCCAUAUAUGCCUGGGGAGAGAAGGAGAGGUGCUGGCACGCCCACAGGG
Molecule: long non-coding RNA, 815 nt
Filed under: Callithrix jacchus (white-tufted-ear marmoset)
Lineage: Eukaryota; Metazoa; Chordata; Mammalia; Primates; Cebidae
Description: lncRNA (ENSCJAG00000076291.1)
Source: RNAcentral